UUGCUUGCCUAGCCGAUAAGAACGAGUCUUUUGCCUUUUACUGAAGACUCCCAUGGCUAGACACCGUGCCACACAGCAAUUUUUGGAAUGCUGAUCAACUCAGCCU
Encephalitozoon intestinalis ATCC 50506 is the source of this 106-nucleotide small nucleolar RNA. RefSeq annotates it as U5 spliceosomal RNA. NCBI's taxonomy places the organism in Eukaryota, Fungi, Microsporidia, Unikaryonidae. The record is from RefSeq and is a predicted model, not a curated record. The transcript has a single exon.